This 724-nucleotide long non-coding RNA is filed under the name Canis lupus familiaris (dog). RNAcentral's name for it is "lncRNA (ENSCAFG00845012137.1)". Lineage: Eukaryota; Metazoa; Chordata; Mammalia; Carnivora; Canidae. The record is from RNAcentral.
CUUCUCUGCAGGAUCUCGUUAAAACUGCAGAUUCUGGCUUAGUAGGUCUGGAGUGGACCUCAAAAUUCUGCAUUUCUAACAAAUUCCAGGUAUGGUUGUUGCUGUAGGCCCACGGGCCACGCUUCAAGUAGCAAAGACCUUGCUAUGGCAUCCUCGCUCCAUCUUUCUUUUUGAUUCUCCUUUCCCUCUCUCUUGCUUCUUCCUGCAGACAUUUCCCACAAAAUCACUGCUCCACAUCCUCAUCUCAUGGCCUUCUUCUGGGGAACCUGAUCUGAGGCACUCACAGAUCCUGGGAGCUCGUGUACCCUGCGGUGUGGAGAACUUGGAGGCUGUUGACAAAAUCCAGCUUUGUGGUUUCGUCCGAAGGUGGUUGGAGCAGGUCUGAACUGAUGGAGGGAGCAAGAAUCAAGAUGCAAUGCAGAUUCUGGACUCUGCUUCCUUAGGAACCAGAGAUGGGCCAGCGCUCGAGGGUGAAGGAUUUGUCCUGAAAUCUUCCAGAUCCAGGAAAAACUGGCCACCUUCUCCUGCAACUCCACUUCUGGCCUCUAGAGGGGGCCGCCGGGAGCCAAAGCACAGCAGAGCUCAGCAAGAUGAACUCCCUCUGUGCCCGCCCCCGAGGGAAUGUCCCUGCUGGCAUUUGGAAAGCAGCUGGUUAACAGCGCGAGCGCGGCCUCCCCACCCUCACAAACUUCUCCACGACACAUUGCACCAUAAUUCUCCCUAA